CUUUUCUUCGGAAGCACAUGUACUAAAAUUGAAUGAUAUAGAGAAGAUUAGCAUGGCCCUGUGCAAGCAUGACAUGGCAACUUGUGAAUCAUUCUAUAUUUUU
Molecule: small nuclear RNA, 103 nt
Organism: Arvicanthis niloticus (Nile rat)
Lineage: Eukaryota; Metazoa; Chordata; Mammalia; Rodentia; Muridae
Source: RefSeq, a predicted model, not a curated record